RNAcentral lists this ribosomal RNA (1521 nucleotides) under Triticum aestivum (bread wheat). RNAcentral's name for it is "partial small subunit ribosomal RNA". Lineage: Eukaryota; Viridiplantae; Streptophyta; Magnoliopsida; Poales; Poaceae. The record is from RNAcentral.
AUGCCAGCAACCAUGGCCGGCAUCAUGCGGGCCAUCUUGGCCUGCGUCCCCGCCGCGCCAUCCUCCACCGGCGACGGCUCCCUCUCCGCUGCCUUCUCCUCGACCUGCCCCGGCGGCGGCGGCGAGGAUCGCAUCAGCCGCCUCCCGGACGCGCUGCUCGCCGACAUCGUCUCCCGCCUCCCCGUCAAGGAAGCCGCGCGCACCGCAGCGAUCUCCCCGCGCUGGCGCCGCCUACGGCCAUCGACGCCUCUUGUCCUCGACGACACCGACAUCUUCGAUGACUUCGCCGAAGCCGACGACGACGACGACGGCGACACCUUUGGCCUCAUCGACUGGCGCGCCCUCACCAAUACCCUCUCCCGCAUCCUCUCCGGCCACCCGGGACCCUUCCGCUGCGUCCACCUCACCACGGCUUGCAACUACGCGUCCGCUCGCGGCGGCAGUGCGCUCGUCCGCUGGCUCCACCUCUUCGCCGCCAAGUCCAUCCAGGAGCUCGUCCUCAUCAACUUCCCCAACUGGCCCUUCAAGAACACCCUCCCUGCGGAGAUCCUCCGCGUCGCCUCCCUCCGCCGCCUGUACCUCGGCCUCUGGGACAAGUUCCCGGACACAAAUGACCUUCCCAGCGGCGCCCACGUCUUCCCGCACCUCGCCGAGCUCGGCUUCUGCAAAACCGACAUCAAGACCAAGGACCUGGACCGCCUACUUCAGUGCAGCCCCGUCCUGGAGAAGCUCGCGCUCAUCCUCUGCUACGACACGCCGCGCAACGUCCGCGUCCGCAGCCGCAGCAUCCGCUGUGUGCUCUUCUGGAUGUCCCUCGCGGACGCGCUAGCCGUGGUCGUCGCCCCGUGUCUCGAGCGCCUCAUCCUGUGGAACGACUGCCCUGGUGCCUGGCUCGGCAAGGACUUUCGCACCAGAGUCAAGAUUGGCUACGCGCCGGAGCUCAAGGUGCUCGGCUACUUGGAGCCAAGCUUCCAUGUGCUCGAGAUCGGCAACACCGUCAUCGAGUUUGGCACAAGGCCCAGCCCCACCACCACCAUUCCAAGUGUCAAGAUCCUGGCAUUAAGGGUGCGAUUUGGAGUGCGCAAAGAGGCUAAGAUGCUGCCUACCUUCCUCAGAUGCUUCCCCAAUGUCGAGACAUUGCAUGUCAUGUCUGCUGAAGCUGAUGAGCCCACUGGCAAGCUGAAUUUCAAGUUCUGGCAUGAUGUCGGACCCAUCAAAUGCCUGCAGUCACACACCAAGAAGGUGGUGUUCAAGAACUUCCGAGGGAACCGGAGCGAGGUCGUGUUCCUCAGGUUUGUCAUGGAGAGAGCACAGCUUCUGCAAAAAAUGGUGGUCGUGUUGGCAGAUGGAGACCCUGCUUCAGAGGAGAGGGUGGCGGCCAAGCUGAAAACUUUGGCUUGCAGCACCAAGCGUGCCAGCAGAGACUCAAAAUUCUCAAUCUUGGUGCGCAGCAGUGGGGGCAGUGAUUGGAGCUUCCGCGCAGCGUCCAAUCUCUCCAAGAGUGACCCAUUUGAUAGCUGA